Molecule: long non-coding RNA, 2185 nt
Organism: Ictalurus punctatus (channel catfish)
Lineage: Eukaryota; Metazoa; Chordata; Actinopteri; Siluriformes; Ictaluridae
Source: Ensembl
AAGUGGUUUUUCUAACAAACUCAUGUAAUCAAUUGCCCGACGUACUCCAAUUUGAUUUUUUUUUACAUAGUUAGACAUAAUAUAGUACUAUGAAAUGUUUCUGACCUAAAAUAAUACGAAAUAUGAUUGUUUACAUUAAAAUGUAAAACUUGAUGAUAAAGUAUGAUAAGUUGAAAAAAGUGACAUUUGAAGGUCAGAAAGUCACUUUUCAUCAAAAGUACCAUAACAAAACUUGUUUCCAUUCAUCCUGUGUGUCCAUGCACACUUGUGCUCUUUAUCCGCUCAAAACGCUAUACAGCGAACGAGAAGGCGCUAGGAGCAAAGGAAAGUGGUUUUUCUAACAAACUCAUGUAAUCAAGUGCCCGACGUACUCCAAUUUGAUUUUUUUCACAUAGUUAGACAUAAUAUAGUACUAUGAAAUGUUUCUGACCCUAAAAUAAUACGAAAUAUGAUUGUUUACAUUAAAAUGUAAAACUUGAUGAUAACGUAUGAUAAGUUGAAAAAAGUGACAUUUGAAGGUCAGAAAUUCACUUUUCAUCAAAAGUACCAUAACAAAACUUGUUUCCAUUCAUCCUAUGUGUCCAUGCACACUUGUGCUCUUUAUCCGCUCAAAACGCUAUACAGCGCUUCGAGAAGGCGCUAGGAGCAAAGGAAAGUGGUUUUUCUAACAAACUCAUGUAAUCAAUUGCCCGACGUACUCCAAUUUGAUUUUUUUCACAUAGUUAGACAUAAUAUACUACUAUGAAAUGUUUCUGACCUAAAAUAAUACGAAAUAUGAUUGUUUACAUUAAAAUGUAAAACUUGAUGAUAAAGUAUGAUAAGUUGAAAAAAGUGACAUUUGAAGGUCAGAAAUUCACUUUUCAUCAAAAGUACCAUAACAAAACUUGUUUCCAUUCAUCCUAUGUGUCCAUGCACACUUGUGCUCUUUAUCCGCUCAAAACGCUAUACAGCGACUGAGAAGGCGCUAGGAGCAAAGGAAAGUGGUUUUUCUAACAAACUCAUGUAAUCAAGUGCCCGACGUACUCCAAUUUGAUUUUUUUCACAUAGUUAGACAUAAUAUAGUACUAUGAAAUGUUUCUGACCUAAAAUAAUACGAAAUAUGAUUGUUUACAUUAAAAUGUAAAACUUGAUGAUAAUGUAUGAUAAGGUGAAAAAAGUGACAUUUGAAGGUCAGAAAUUCACUUUUCAUCAAAAGUACCAUAACAAAACUUGUUUCCAUUCAUCCUAUGUGUCCAUGCACACUUGUGCUCUUUAUCCGCUCAAAACGCUAUACAGCGAACGAGAAGGCGCUAGGAGCAAAGGAAAGUGGUUUUUCUAACAAACUCAUGUAAUCAAGUGCCCGACGUACUCCAAUUUGAUUUUUUUCACAUAGUUAGACAUAAUAUAGUACUAUGAAAUGUUUCUGACCUAAAAUAAUACGAAAUAUGAUUGUUUACAUUAAAAUGUAAAACUUGAUGAUAACGUAUGAUAAGUUGAAAAAAGUGACAUUUGAAGGUCAGAAAUUCACUUUUCAUCAAAAGUACCAUAACAAAACUUGUUUCCAUUCAUCCUAUGUGUCCAUGCACACUUGUGCUCUUUAUCCGCUCAAAACGCUAUACAGCGAACGAGAAGGCGCUAGGAGCAAAGGAAAGUGGUUUUUCUAACAAACUCAUGUAAUCAAGUGCCCGACGUACUCCAAUUUGAUUUUUUUCACAUAGUUAGACAUAAUAUAGUACUAUGAAAUGUUUCUGACCUAAAAUAAUACGAAAUAUGAUUGUUUACAUUAAAAUGUAAAACUUGAUGAUAAAGUAUGAUAAGUUGAAAAAAGUGACAUUUGAAGUGUAGAAAGUAACUUUUCAUCAAAAGUACCAUAACAAAACUUGUUCCCAUUCAUCCUGUGUGUCCAUACACACUGGUGCUCUUUAUACGUUGAAAACGCGAUACAGCACUUUAGAAGGCGCCAGGAGCAAAGGAAAGGGGUUUUUCUAACAAACUCAUAUAAAAAUUGCCCGACAUACUCCAAUAUGGUAUUUUUCACAUAGUUAGACAUAAUAUAGUACUAUGAAAUGUUUCUGACGUGAAAUAAUACGAAAUAUGAUUGUUUACAUUAAAAUGUCAAACUUGAUGAUAAUGUAUGAUAAGGUGAAAAAAGUGACAUUUGAAGUGUAGAAAGUCACUUUUCAUCAAAUGUGCCUUAAUAAAACUU